This is a long non-coding RNA of Nerophis lumbriciformis (worm pipefish), 819 nucleotides long. RefSeq lists it as uncharacterized. The record is from RefSeq and is a predicted model, not a curated record. Lineage: Eukaryota; Metazoa; Chordata; Actinopteri; Syngnathiformes; Syngnathidae.
AUUGUCAUUCCUACCUGUCCUUGUCGCUGUCGUCAUAGCGAUCUUCACUUAAAUGGAGGGGAGAGACCAUAGCUUGGAUGUUUCGUCAGUUUGGUCAAUGUCAUCUCUACUCAUCGGAACAAUGCCAUCAACUGCCCCUCAUAUUUCUGAGGACAAAGAUGAAGAAACCAUGUUUGAGUCUGCAUGCACCUCAUCAUGGCCGUUUGAUUCCAAACCACUUACCAGUGCUGAUGCAACAGAGGGUUGGAAGUAUUUUCAAAUAGCAGUAAGUGUUAAAAUACGAAAAAAAAAAUAAUAGUCAGUAGCCACGUGUACAUGGGAAACAUUUAUUUAAUCUGAUCAUAAUUCGAGUUAGAAUGUUACUGUGUACAUGAACCCUGAUAAAAAUUAUCAGAUUAUGACGUGCCUUUUCAUGCGUGUGGACUUCAAUUUUGUUUCCGACGUGUGUGAUCGGGUCAAAAUAUUCCGAAUGGCGUGUUUACAUGAAGCAUCUUUAUUUGGAAUACGUUAUUUUGACAUGUGCAGCACAAACUGUCAACGGUAGUAGACGAAGAAGAAGCAGUGACUUCCGCUGUAAACAAACAUGGCUCUGUGCAUGUCUGCUUGUCCAAUGUUGUCACGUUAUUUAUUUAUAAAUGUUUCCUUCUCUUUGCUACUUUUGUUUUACCUCUCUUUUUGUAAUGGACCUGUUCUGUGUCCUCAAUGUUGUGAUAUGUCCGGGUUGCUGCGCAUCUUCAUGUGACGACAUUCUGUGUACGUGCCUUAAGGCUAGUGGUUAGCACUUGGAGUAGCUGUAAGGCCGUGAAUAAAACAACUUGU